This 653-nucleotide ribosomal RNA is filed under the name uncultured Alphaproteobacteria bacterium. RNAcentral describes it as "bacterial SSU rRNA". It matches the Rfam family "Bacterial small subunit ribosomal RNA", at positions 100 to 789 of the family's 1533-position model. The record is from RNAcentral. Lineage: Bacteria; Pseudomonadati; Pseudomonadota; Alphaproteobacteria.
GACGGGUUAGUAACGCGUGGGAAUGUACCCUUCUCUACGGAAUAGCCUCGGGAAACUGAGAGUAAUACCGUAUACGCCCUUCGGGGGAAAGAUUUAUCGGAGAAGGAUCAGCCCGCGUAAGAUUAGAUAGUUGGUGGGGUAAUGGCCUACCAAGUCUACGAUCUUUAGCUGGUUUUAGAGGAUGAUCAGCAACACUGGGACUGAGACACGGCCCAGACUCCUACGGGAGGCAGCAGUGGGGAAUCUUGGACAAUGGGCGCAAGCCUGAUCCAGCCAUGCCGCGUGUGUGAUGAAGGCCUUAGGGUCGUAAAGCACUUUCGCUAGAGAUGAUAAUGACAGUAUCUAGUAAAGAAGUCCCGGCUAACUCCGUGCCAGCAGCCGCGGUAAUACGGAGGGGACUAGCGUUGUUCGGAAUUACUGGGCGUAAAGCGUACGUAGGCGGAUCAGAAAGUAUGGGGUGAAAUCCCAGGGCUCAACCCUGGAACUGCCUCAUAAACUCCUGGUCUAGAGUUCGAGAGAGGUGAGUGGAAUUCCGAGUGUAGAGGUGAAAUUCGUAGAUAUUCGGAGGAACACCAGUGGCGAAGGCGGCUCACUGGCUCGAUACUGACGCUGAGGUACGAAAGUGUGGGGAGCAAACAGGAUUAGAUACCCUG